CCUGGCCUUGACAUACUAAGAACUUUCCAGAGAUGGAUUGGUGCCUUCGGGAACUUAGAUACAGGUGCUGCAUGGCUGUCGUCAGCUCGUGUCGUGAGAUGUUGGGUUAAGUCCCGCAACGAGCGCGACCCUUUUCCUUAUUUGCCAGCGGGUUAAGCCGGGAACUUUAAGGAUACUGCCAGUGACAAACUGGAGGAAGGCGGGGACGACGUCAAGUCAUCAUGGCCCUUACGGCCAGGGCUACACACGUGCUACAAUGGUCGGUACAAAGGGUUGCUACCUCGCGAGAGGAUGCUAAUCUCAAAAAGCCGAUCGUAGUCCGGAUCGCAGUCUGCAACUCGACUGCGUGAAGUCGGAAUCGCUAGUAAUCGCGGAUCAGAAUGCCGCGGUGAAUACGUUCCCGGGCCUUGUACACACCGCCCGUCACACCAUGGGAGUUUGUUGCACCAGAAGUAGGUAGUCUAACCGCAAGGAGGACGCUUACCACGGUGUGGCCGAUGACUGGGGUGAAGUCGUAACAAGGUAAGCGUAGAUGA
This 536-nucleotide ribosomal RNA is filed under the name uncultured bacterium. RNAcentral's name for it is "bacterial SSU rRNA". It matches the Rfam family "Bacterial small subunit ribosomal RNA", at positions 974 to 1509 of the family's 1533-position model. The record is from RNAcentral.